Long non-coding RNA from Hibiscus syriacus, 514 nucleotides. RefSeq lists it as uncharacterized. Lineage: Eukaryota; Viridiplantae; Streptophyta; Magnoliopsida; Malvales; Malvaceae. The record is from RefSeq and is a predicted model, not a curated record. The transcript is spliced from 3 exons.
GAUGACGAUAACAAUGUUGAUGUUGAUGCAGAUUAUGAGAAGAAGAUGAAGAUGAUCCUCAUGAUGCAGAUUUUGAGCCUAACUAUGGACUUGCAAGUUCUCAUGCAGGGAAUAAGGAUAAAGACUGGGAUGGUGAAUAUUCUGAGGAAGAAGAUUAUAGUAAUGGUGAUGAAAUAAAUGUUACAGAUGAAGACGAUUCUUAUCUUAAAAAGAAACCCACGGGCAGGCAAUAGAUUAAAGUUGGGUGUAAUAAUGUAAAACCCACUAGAGAACAUAAAUCCUCCAGUCGACAAAGAAGAGGGAGAUUGUCUUUUGAUGAGGAUGAUUACUCAACUGAGGAUUCUGACAGUGAAAGCGAUGGGGAUUUCAAGAGUAUGACACGAAGAAGUGGAAAUCAUCAUAAAAUUAAUGUUCAUUCUAAUAUGGCAACAAGCAUGGGAAGACAUAAUGAAAUUCGUACUUCUAGUAGGUCAGUCAGGAAAGUAUCAUAUGUUGAGAGUGAAAAAAGUGAAGA